This 253-nucleotide ribosomal RNA is filed under the name uncultured bacterium. RNAcentral's name for it is "partial 16S ribosomal RNA". It matches the Rfam family "Bacterial small subunit ribosomal RNA", at positions 524 to 776 of the family's 1533-position model. The record is from RNAcentral.
UACGUAGGGGGCAAGCGUUGUCCGGAAUCAUUGGGCGUAAAGCGCGUGUAGGCGGCUUGGUAAGUCUGCUCUGAAAGCCCGGGGCUCAACCCCGGGAGGCGGGCGGAUACUGCUGAGCUCGAGUCCGGAAGAGGCGAGUGGAAUUCCUGGUGUAGCGGUGAAAUGCGCAGAUAUCAAGAGGAACACCUGCGGCGAAGGCGGGUUGCUGGGCCGACACUGACGCUGAGGCGCGAAAGCCAGGGGAGCGAACGGG